This 75-nucleotide transfer RNA is filed under the name Triticum aestivum (bread wheat). RNAcentral describes it as "tRNA_PseudoCTT". The record is from RNAcentral. Lineage: Eukaryota; Viridiplantae; Streptophyta; Magnoliopsida; Poales; Poaceae.
GGUCCACUGCUCAGUUGGUAAAGCACAAGGCUCUUAACCUUGUGGACGUGGAUUCAAGCCCCAAGAUGGGGGUCA